CCAUGUCCUCUUUCACAUCCUUUUGGAAUCAUCUCAUUUGGAUCCAUGGUUUGAGAGAUACAUUCAUUUAAAGUGGGCACCAUGACUUGAUUUUCUAGGCAGAUUUUAGGCCUGGCUGGCCCAAUCAGAUUUUCUAAGCAUGCUGCACAAACCAGUCACGUUUUUUACCUCUUUUGGCCAUGCAUUGGACAUCCAUUCACUUAAGUUUGGCCCAAAGUAAC
RNAcentral lists this long non-coding RNA (221 nucleotides) under Lathyrus oleraceus (garden pea). Its description in RNAcentral is "Pisum sativum (pea) long non-coding RNA (PSAT_LNC004456)". Lineage: Eukaryota; Viridiplantae; Streptophyta; Magnoliopsida; Fabales; Fabaceae. The record is from RNAcentral.